GCCAGGCGUGGUGGCCUGCGCCUGUAGUCCCAGCUACUCUGGAGGCUGAGGUGAGAGGAUCACUUGAGCCUGGGAGUUCUGGGCUGUAGUGCUCUGUGGCAAUCAGGUGUCCACACUAAGUUCGGCAUCAAUGUGGUGAUCUCCUGGGAGCAGGGGACCAGCAGGUUGCCUGAGGAGGGGUCAACUGCUGGCCCAGGUCAGAAAAUGGAGCAGGACAUAACUCCUGUGAUGAUCAGUAGUGAGAUCGCACCUAUGAAUAGCCACUGCACUCCAGCCUGGGCAACAUAACAAGACAUGUCCAUCUCU
Molecule: signal recognition particle RNA, 306 nt
Filed under: Microcebus murinus (gray mouse lemur)
Lineage: Eukaryota; Metazoa; Chordata; Mammalia; Primates; Cheirogaleidae
Description: Metazoan signal recognition particle RNA (ENSMICG00000030040.2)
Rfam family: Metazoan signal recognition particle RNA
About the family: The signal recognition particle (SRP) is a universally conserved ribonucleoprotein. It is involved in the co-translational targeting of proteins to membranes. The eukaryotic SRP consists of a 300-nucleotide 7S RNA and six proteins: SRPs 72, 68, 54, 19, 14, and 9.
Source: RNAcentral